AUGUACUGUGAGGAGUGUGAUGACAAAGUGGACGCGACUGUUACAUGUGAAGUGAAGCAUCAUCCAGAGGUUUUAGUUCUGCUGCUGAAGAGGUUUGACUUUGACUAUCGUUACAUGAGAUACGUCAAAAACAACCGCGCUGUGAUUGUUCCUGUCACUCUGAACCUCCCAGAGAACCAGACCUAUGAGCUCUAUGCUGUGGUGGAUCACGCUGGUGAUCUCAGAGGUGGACAUUAUGAUGCAACGAUCAAGUCUCAGGACGACGAUCGAUGGUACAACUUCAAUGACGGCAUCGUCUCGUUGCUCAGUUACCAGCCGUUACAGGUGGAUCGCACUGAGAGGCAGGUUUUUAUCUGUUGGUUUUUAACACAUACAUGAUCCUGAAUAGAAAAACAACAUUCUAGCUCUUCUCUCGUCUCCAUUCAGGUCCCACAGCGCGUAUCUUCUAUUCUACAGGAAACAGACAAGUAAAGGACAAACGUUUCCUUCAUGUUCAAACACAGUUUAACAAACACAUCAAACUGAUACUUACUUUAUAUCUUUUAUGUAGGUGUGACACCAGGUGGACGACAGACCUCAGGUCAGAAACAGGAUGUGUCUUCUACAUGUUCAAACUGUUUGGUCAGUUGUUACAAUGUCUUCAGUUUUCCUUCAUGAUGCUUUUUCUCCUCAUUAGCUCCUAUAUAUCACGGUUUAUUGAACCAAGGAGCCACAUGUUACCUGAACAGUUUGCUGCAGGUGCUGUUCAUGACCAGAGAGUUCAGAGAAGCUGUGGACCGGUUUGUUAUAUGAAGUCAGUCAUGACUGAUUAAACCCCGCACAUUUGUCUGUCUGACCCUUUGUGUGUUUGGUUCAGGUACAUCAUGACUCUUAGAGUCUUGCUUAGAGACUUACACAGACACACAGUCGACGCCUGUGACAUCAUAACCAAGCUGCUCACCACAGGUACAGUAUCAGCUGAUACAACAGGCCUGAUGCAAACACACAACAGGACAUGAACUGUCCUGUUUUAAGAUCUAUUGUUUCCUGUCACUGAAGGGUUUAACACAGUCAGACGUUUGUUAAGUGUUUUAUAUUUUUACAGUGUUAUGUCAUAAACACAGCUCGUGUUGAUUUCUGCUCCUCUCUCUGUCAGUGUUUGAACCACAGGAAGCUGCUGAGGACGUCCAGAGGAUCUCUUUUCCCAACAUGCAUCAGGCUUCACAGGUAAAACAUGGCUGACAUUAAAACCAGUCUGUUAAACUAGAAGAAAGACGCAACUGGUUCAUCAUCUGUGUUUGUGUUUCAGUCCCAGACCAGAUGUUGUAAAUGUGAGACAGGGAGAAGCAGAGAAUCACCACUUU
Molecule: long non-coding RNA, 1343 nt
Filed under: Betta splendens (Siamese fighting fish)
Lineage: Eukaryota; Metazoa; Chordata; Actinopteri; Anabantiformes; Osphronemidae
Description: lncRNA (ENSBSLG00000001600.1)
Source: RNAcentral